Cavia aperea (Brazilian guinea pig) is the source of this 101-nucleotide small nuclear RNA. NCBI's taxonomy places the organism in Eukaryota, Metazoa, Chordata, Mammalia, Rodentia, Caviidae. The record is from Ensembl.
UUAGUAUAUACAGCAGAUAUACUAAAAUUGGAAUGAUGCAGAGAUUAGCAUAAAGCCUGUGCGCAGAUGACAUGCAAAUUUCUGAAGAGUUCCAUACUUUU